ACUCCUACGGGAGGCAGCAGUAGGGAAUAUUGGUCAAUGGGCGAAAGCCUGAACCAGCCAUGCCGCGUGUCAGAUGAAGGUCCUCUGGAUUGUAAAUGUACUUUUCUACGGGAAGAAUGAGCCGUCUGCGGACGGAAGUUGACGGUACCGUAGGAAUAAGCACCGGCUAACUACGUGCCAGCAGCCGCGGUAAUACGUAGGGUGCAAGCGUUGUCCGGAUUUACUGGGUUUAAAGGGUACGUAGGCGGUUGUGCCAAGUCUGGGGUGAAAGUUUGCAGCUCAACUGUAAAAUUGCCUUGGAUACUGGUCGGCUAGAGUAGUGGAGCGGUGGCUGGAAUUUAUAGUGUAGCGGUGAAAUGCUUAGAUACUAUGAGGAACACCAAUUGCGAAGGCAGGUCACUGGUCACUAACUGACGCUGAGGUACGAAAGUGUGGGAUCAAACAGGAUUAGAUACCC
Molecule: ribosomal RNA, 457 nt
Filed under: uncultured bacterium
Lineage: Bacteria
Description: bacterial SSU rRNA
Rfam family: Bacterial small subunit ribosomal RNA
Source: RNAcentral